ACGGAAGGCAGCAGUAGGGAAUCUUCGGCAAUGGGGGCAACCCUGACCGAGCAACGCCGCGUGAGUGAAGAAGGUUUUCGGAUCGUAAAGCUCUGUUGUAAGAGAAGAACGUGUGUGAGAGUGGAAAGUUCACGCAGUGACGGUAACUUACCAGAAAGGGACGGCUAACUACGUGCCAGCAGCCGCGGUAAUACGUAGGUCCCGAGCGUUGUCCGGAUUUAUUGGGCGUAAAGCGAGCGCAGGCGGUUUAAUAAGUCUGAAGUUAAAGGCAGUGGCUUAACCAUUGUUCGCUUUGGAAACUGUUAAACUUGAGUGCAGAAGGGGAGAGUGGAAUUCCAUGUGUAGCGGUGAAAUGCGUAGAUAUAUGGAGGAACACCGGUGGCGAAAGCGGCUCUCUGGUCUGUAACUGACGCUGAGGCUCGAAAGCGUGGGGAGCGAACAGGAUUAGAUACCCUGGUA
Molecule: ribosomal RNA, 459 nt
Filed under: uncultured Streptococcus sp.
Lineage: Bacteria; Bacillati; Bacillota; Bacilli; Lactobacillales; Streptococcaceae
Description: bacterial SSU rRNA
Rfam family: Bacterial small subunit ribosomal RNA
Source: RNAcentral